RNAcentral lists this ribosomal RNA (583 nucleotides) under Escherichia coli. RNAcentral describes it as "partial 23S ribosomal RNA". It matches the Rfam family "Bacterial large subunit ribosomal RNA", at positions 1293 to 1861 of the family's 2925-position model. The record is from RNAcentral. Lineage: Bacteria; Pseudomonadati; Pseudomonadota; Gammaproteobacteria; Enterobacterales; Enterobacteriaceae.
AAUGCUGACAUAAGUAACGAUAAAGCGGGUGAAAAGCCCGCUCGCCGGAAGACCAAGGGUUCCUGUCCAACGUUAAUCGGGGCAGGGUGAGUCGACCCCUAAGGCGAGGCCGAAAGGCGUAGUCGAUGGGAAACAGGUUAAUAUUCCUGUACUUGGUGUUACUGCGAAGGGGGGACGGAGAAGGCUAUGUUGGCCGGGCGACGGUUGUCCCGGUUUAAGCGUGUAGGCUGGUUUUCCAGGCAAAUCCGGAAAAUCAAGGCUGAGGCGUGAUGACGAGGCACUACGGUGCUGAAGCAACAAAUGCCCUGCUUCCAGGAAAAGCCUCUAAGCAUCAGGUAACAUCAAAUCGUACCCCAAACCGACACAGGUGGUCAGGUAGAGAAUACCAAGGCGCUUGAGAGAACUCGGGUGAAGGAACUAGGCAAAAUGGUGCCGUAACUUCGGGAGAAGGCACGCUGAUAUGUAGGUGAAGUCCCUCGCGGAUGGAGCUGAAAUCAGUCGAAGAUACCAGCUGGCUGCAACUGUUUAUUAAAAACACAGCACUGUGCAAACACGAAAGUGGACGUAUACGGUGUGACGCCUG